GUGAACGCCCUCACGGGCUUAUACUAUUCCAAACCUCUGUGAACCGUGCCCUUCGGGGCUAUUUUACAAACAUGGUGUAAUGAACGUCAUAUAUCAUAACGAAACA
Molecule: unclassified non-coding RNA, 106 nt
Filed under: soil metagenome
Description: partial internal transcribed spacer 1
Source: RNAcentral